GAGGUGAGAAUACUAAGAUGCUCCAGAAUGUUGCAGGCACUUUGGAGAUACUGAAUCAAUGCAGUUGGAGACGGCAUAGACUUAUUUCACCUUCAUUCUCCCACCAGGGAAGGAUACGUCCUUUAUGCAAGGAGGCUGGCAGGACUUUCAGAAGUUGCUCAGCUCCCUGGACACGUCUACUGCCAUGAGAUGUCUCAGCCAAGGAUUUUGAGCCAAGAUAUGAGGGAAAUGGUUUAACCAGAUGUGUGCCCAUGCCUGCAACACUGAGCUUUGAGAUGCUGAUAUUUAAAAAGCUUGUCAUCUCCCCUGCCUCCCAGCAGCAAGGGAAGACUGAAGCCACUGAGCAUGGAAUCUAGCCCGUCUUCUAGCUCCCCACGUGCAGCAAAAACAUUUACAGACUGAUCUUCUAUGGCUUCUUUCAAGCACUGGAGUUUCCUGGUGUUUAUGUUUUCAGGGCACAAGCAAC
Long non-coding RNA from Gymnogyps californianus (California condor), 466 nucleotides. RefSeq lists it as uncharacterized. The record is from RefSeq and is a predicted model, not a curated record. Lineage: Eukaryota; Metazoa; Chordata; Aves; Accipitriformes; Cathartidae. The transcript has 3 exons.